CUCUAUUAGAAAUUAUUAAUAGUAAAAUCUGCUCAAUGAAAAUUCAAUUGCCGCAAUCGUGCUAAGGUAGCAUAAUCAUUUGUCUUUUAAUUAAAGACUAGAACAAAAGAUUUAACAUUUAAGUAAAUUUCUUUAAUUUAAUAAUUUAAAUUAUUUUUAAUGUAAAAAAUCAUUAAUUUAUAAAAUAGACGACAAGACCCUAUCGAACUUUACUUUAGUUUAACUGGGGUAGUUAAUUAAUUAAUAUUUUAAUAAAAAACAAAAAAUAAAUGACCUAAUAUAAUUAAUUUAAUGAUCAAGUUACCGUAGGGAUAACAGUGUAAUAAUAUUUUAAAGAUCUUAUUUAAAAUAAUGAUUGCAACCUCGAUGUUGACUAAUAUUCUUAUAUACGCAAUAGUUUAUAAAGAAAGUCUGUUCGACUUUCAAAUAAUUACA
RNAcentral lists this ribosomal RNA (435 nucleotides) under Misumena sp. MR471. RNAcentral describes it as "partial 16S ribosomal RNA". The record is from RNAcentral. Lineage: Eukaryota; Metazoa; Arthropoda; Arachnida; Araneae; Thomisidae.